RNAcentral lists this ribosomal RNA (31 nucleotides) under Dirofilaria immitis (dog heartworm nematode). Its description in RNAcentral is "partial 18S ribosomal RNA". Lineage: Eukaryota; Metazoa; Nematoda; Chromadorea; Rhabditida; Onchocercidae. The record is from RNAcentral.
GGUGAACCUGCGGAAGGAUCAUUAUCGAGCA